RNAcentral lists this ribosomal RNA (554 nucleotides) under Curvularia lunata. Its description in RNAcentral is "eukaryotic LSU rRNA". The stretch from base 186 to 339 matches the Rfam family "5.8S ribosomal RNA". The record is from RNAcentral. Lineage: Eukaryota; Fungi; Ascomycota; Dothideomycetes; Pleosporales; Pleosporaceae.
CCUGCGGAGGGAUCAUUACACAAUUAAAAUAUGAAGGCCCUUCAAACCGGCUGGAUUAUUUUUAUUCACCCUUGUCUUUUGCGCACUUGUUGUUUCCUGGGCGGGUUCGCUCGCCACCAGGACCACAUCAUAAACCUUUUUUGUUAAUGCAAUCAGCGUCAGUAUAACAAAUGUAAAUCAUUUACAACUUUCAACAACGGAUCUCUUGGUUCUGGCAUCGAUGAAGAACGCAGCGAAAUGCGAUACGUAGUGUGAAUUGCAGAAUUCAGUGAAUCAUCGAAUCUUUGAACGCACAUUGCGCCCUUUGGUAUUCCAAAGGGCAUGCCUGUUCGAGCGUCAUUUGUACCCUCAAGCUUUGCUUGGUGUUGGGCGUUGUUUGUCUUUGGUCCGCCCAAAGACUCGCCUUAAAACAAUUGGCAGCCGGCCUACUGGUUUCGCAGCGCAGCACAUUUUUGCGCUUGCAAUCAGCAAAAGAGGUUGGUCAUCCAUCAAGACUACAUUUAUACGUUUGACCUCGGAUCAGGUAGGGAUACCCGCUGAACUUAAGCAUAUCA